Molecule: ribosomal RNA, 479 nt
Filed under: uncultured bacterium
Lineage: Bacteria
Description: partial 16S ribosomal RNA
Rfam family: Bacterial small subunit ribosomal RNA
Source: RNAcentral
GACGAACGCUGGCGGCGUGCUUAACACAUGCAAGUCGAACGAUGAAGCUGGAGCUUGCUCCGGUGGAUUAGUGGCGAACGGGUGAGUAACACGUGAGCAAUCUGCCCUUGACUCUGGGAUAACUGCGGGAAACUGUAGCUAAUACCGGAUACGACACCUUGGGGCAUCCCAGGGUGUGGAAAGAAUUUCGGUCAAGGAUGAGCUCGCGGCCUAUCAGCUAGUUGGUGGGGUAAAGGCUCACCAAGGCGAUGACGGGUAGCUGGUCUGAGAGGAUGAUCAGCCUCGAUGGGACUGAGACACGGCCCAUACUCCUACGGGAGGCAGCAGUUGGGGAUUUUGCACAAUGGAGGAAACUCUGAUGCAGCGACACUGCGUGAAGGAUGAAGGUUUUCGGAUCGUAAACUUCUUUUAGUGGGGAGUAAUCUUGAAAGUACCCACUGAAUAAGGACCGGCUAACUACGUGCCAGCAGCCGCGGUAA